GACCGUGUGGAUCCUUGGUUAGGUCACCGAGUUCUCGUAGUAGCGAACCGUCAAUGUAUUCUCGGAGGUGGUGGUUCGAUUCCACCCGCGGUCU
Molecule: non-coding RNA, 94 nt
Organism: Mycena galericulata
Lineage: Eukaryota; Fungi; Basidiomycota; Agaricomycetes; Agaricales; Mycenaceae
Source: the annotation of a GenBank genome assembly